Sander lucioperca (pikeperch) is the source of this 191-nucleotide long non-coding RNA. RefSeq lists it as uncharacterized. The record is from RefSeq and is a predicted model, not a curated record. Lineage: Eukaryota; Metazoa; Chordata; Actinopteri; Perciformes; Percidae. The transcript has 3 exons.
GGAAACUAUCUCACAUUUUCAAAACAGUAGUGGUGUCAACAAUAAUCGAUUCGGCAAUGCAUCGCAAUGCGGGGCAUGCACGAUUCAGCAUCGAUGCGGCAAAGUGCCAUAAUCGAUUAUGUCACUAAAACCUGCCACACUAAAAUCAAGCACGUUGGCAAUACAACUAACUUCACGAACCAUGUUGAUCG